Molecule: ribosomal RNA, 422 nt
Filed under: uncultured eukaryote
Lineage: Eukaryota
Description: SSU rRNA
Rfam family: Eukaryotic small subunit ribosomal RNA
Source: RNAcentral
CAAUAGCGUAUAUUAAAGUUGUUGCAGUUAAAAAGCUCGUAGUCGGAUUUCGGGUCGGGCCGAGCGGUCUGCCGAUGGGUAUGCACUGUUUGGCGCGGCCUUCUUUCCGGAGACCGCGGCUACUCUUAACUGAGCGGGCGUGGGAGACGGAUCGUUUACUUUGAAAAAAUCAGAGUGUUUCAAGCAGGCAGCUCGCUCUUGCAUGGAUUAGCAUGGGAUAAUGAAAUAGGACUUUGGUGCUAUUUUGUUGGUUUCGAACACCGAAGUAAUGAUUAACAGGGACAGUCAGGGGCACUCGUAUUCCGCCGAGAGAGGUGAAAUUCUCAGACCAGCGGAAGACGAACCACUGCGAAAGCAUUUGCCAGGGAUGUUUUCACUGAUCAAGAACGAAAGUUAGGGGAUCGAAGAUGAUUAGAUACCAU